UACAGAGGUCCCAAGCGUUGUUCGGAUUCACUGGGCGUAAAGGGUGCGUAGGUGGUGAGGUAAGUCGGAUGUGAAAUCUCCGGGCUCAACCCGGAAAUGGCAUUGGAAACUACCUUGCUGGAGGAUUUGAGGGGAGACUGGAAUUCCUGGUGUAGCGGUGAAAUGCGCAGAUAUCAGGAGGAACACCGGUGGCGAAGGCGGGUCUCUGGGUAGUAACUGACGCUGAGGAACGAAAGCGUGGGUAGCGAACAGG
This 253-nucleotide ribosomal RNA is filed under the name uncultured bacterium. Its description in RNAcentral is "partial 16S ribosomal RNA". It matches the Rfam family "Bacterial small subunit ribosomal RNA", at positions 524 to 776 of the family's 1533-position model. The record is from RNAcentral.